This is a long non-coding RNA of Papaver somniferum (opium poppy), 1080 nucleotides long. RefSeq lists it as uncharacterized. NCBI's taxonomy places the organism in Eukaryota, Viridiplantae, Streptophyta, Magnoliopsida, Ranunculales, Papaveraceae. The transcript is spliced from 6 exons. The record is from RefSeq and is a predicted model, not a curated record.
CAAGCACUGAGAUAUUGUGGGAGAAGCUGUGGUUGAUAUGACACAAACUAGUUUCUAUACUGUUCACUAUUCGAGAGGUGCGCUGUGAGGAUCUUCUUGAAUUAACCCCUCUGACGAUUGGUCAGACAGUUAUGGCACCUUUGAGAGAUUUGAUGUCCAUCAUGACGGAAUUCCCCGAGUACUCUCUUGUUUGUGUAUCUCCUGGCAAUCGAAUUACUGGUUUCAUCUCUGCAUAUAAUACAGGAGAAGGUGCGGAAAGGCAUUGCGCUAUAAAUGAGAUACAUUACCUGAGAGCAGAAAUGUUUCUGAUGUUAAUGAAAGCAAUUGAGGAGAGGGCUGAGGAGCAUAAGGUAUUUUAUGUGGAAGUAGAUUUGCUCUCAGGACUACGAUGAAGUGUUCUUUGAAAUGGAGUAUACUCGCCAUAGGGAAUAUUUUGAUGUCAUUGGGGGAGAGCUAGUAAAUAAGAGUAUACUCAGGAAAAAUUUGUCAGGUGGAGACUUGCAUCUCUAAACAAAGUUACAGCAGAAGUAUGACAAGUCUGGUGCAGCAGAAGCUACAACAAUCUGUGGCAUCUAAAACUGGAUUCUCGGUGCCUUCUUCUACUAGUCUUUCAAAUGGGAUUUGUGUCAAUAAUACGCAUAAACUUUAAAUAGCGACAGUGGUAUACAAUAAACAUGAUAAAUAGUACGUCAAGGUGAAAGCUGAGUCUUCCAUUGUACGGAUUCAUCCUGUAAUUCACUUGUAGAGUUGUUUCAGAAGAUGCGGUGUUAAGUAGUCUUCCAUAUCUAGAGGAACUGCUGGUUUUAAGUGAAUCUAUCGCUGUCUUCAUCUUGUGCUGGUGAUUAUACAUUUGUUGAGGAAGAACUUAGAAGUAAUGCCUGAUAAAACUCAGCGGUGGAAUUCAAGCCUAAUAAAUCUCGGUUGUUACUACGUGCAUUUUUUCUGUGAAAUACUCGUCAUGUAUCAGUAUGUUUAUAUCUUUCUGCAACAUGUCUCAUCAUACCUAUUCUUGUAAGUAAUUUUUGUUUUCAACUGGAAUCCACUUUCCAAUCUUGGAUCAUGUUCAGACUCUUUGGUGGU